UAGGGAAUCUUCGGCAAUGGACGAAAGUCUGACCGAGCAACGCCGCGUGAGUGAAGAAGGUUUUCGGAUCGUAAAACUCUGUUGUUAGAGAAGAACAAGGACGUUAGUAACUGAAUGUCUCCUGACGGUAUCUAACCAGAAAGCCACGGCUAACUACGUGACAGAAGCCGCGGUAAUACGUAGGUGGCAAGCGUAGUCCGGAUUUAUUGGGCGUAAAGCGAGCGCAGGCGGUUUCUUAAGUCUGAUGUGAAAGCCCCCGGCUCUACCGGGGAGGGUCAUUGGAAACUGGGAUACUUUAGUGCAGAAGAGGAGAGUGUUCUUCCCUGUGUAGCGGUGAAAUGCGUAGAUAUAUAGAGGAACACCAGUGGCGAAUGCGUCUCUCUGGUCUGUAACUGACGCUGAGUCUCGAAAGCGUGGGGAGCAAACAAG
This 429-nucleotide ribosomal RNA is filed under the name Gemmatimonadota bacterium. RNAcentral's name for it is "Gemmatimonadetes bacterium partial 16S ribosomal RNA". It matches the Rfam family "Bacterial small subunit ribosomal RNA", at positions 355 to 776 of the family's 1533-position model. The record is from RNAcentral. Lineage: Bacteria; Pseudomonadati; Gemmatimonadota.